RNAcentral lists this ribosomal RNA (31 nucleotides) under Citellophilus tesquorum altaicus. Its description in RNAcentral is "partial 28S ribosomal RNA". Lineage: Eukaryota; Metazoa; Arthropoda; Insecta; Siphonaptera; Ceratophyllidae. The record is from RNAcentral.
GCAGGUGAGACUACCCCCUAAUUUAAAGCAU